This 253-nucleotide ribosomal RNA is filed under the name uncultured bacterium. RNAcentral's name for it is "partial 16S ribosomal RNA". It matches the Rfam family "Bacterial small subunit ribosomal RNA", at positions 524 to 776 of the family's 1533-position model. The record is from RNAcentral.
UACGUAGGGAGCAAGCGUUGUCCGGAUUUACUGGGUGUAAAGGGUGCGUAGGCGGCAAUGCAAGUCAGAUGUGAAAUGCACGGGCUCAACCCGUGAGCUGCAUUUGAAACUGUGUUGCUUGAGUGAGGUAGAGGCAGGCGGAAUUCCCGGUGUAGCGGUGAAAUGCGUAGAGAUCGGGAGGAACACCAGUGGCGAAGGCGGCCUGCUGGGCCUUAACUGACGCUGAUGCACGAAAGCGUGGGUAGCAAACAGG